GAUGAACGCUGGCGGCGUGCCUAAUACAUGCAAGUCGAACGAAACUUCCUUAUCACCGGGCGCUUGCACGCGUCAAUAAAGGGAAGAUUGGCUAACGGGUGAGUAACACGUGGGCAACGUGCGCUAAAGAGGGGGAUAACACUUGGAAACAGGUGCUAAUACCGCAUAACCAUAGUUACCUCAUGGUACCUAUGUAAAAGGUGGCUAUACUACCGCUUUUGGAUGGGUCCCGGGCUCAUUAGCUAGUUGGUAGGGUAAAGGCUUACCAAGGCAAUGAUGCUUAGCGCAAUCGAGAGGUAGAUCGGAUACAUGGGGACUGAGACAGGGCCCAAACUCCGACGGGAGGCAGCAGUAGGGAAUCUUCCAGAAUGGGGGAAAGCGUGAUGGAGCAACGCCGCGUGGGUGCAGAAGGUCCUCGGAUCGGAAAGCCAUGUUGUUAGAGAAGAAAGUGAGUUAGAGUAACUGUUCACGUUUCGACGGUACCUAACCAGAAAGCCCCGGCUAACUACGUG
RNAcentral lists this ribosomal RNA (512 nucleotides) under uncultured bacterium. RNAcentral's name for it is "partial 16S ribosomal RNA". It matches the Rfam family "Bacterial small subunit ribosomal RNA", at positions 28 to 507 of the family's 1533-position model. The record is from RNAcentral.